GACCAAUCCUUUUUGAAAAAAAAACAUUAUCUCCGAACAUUGAUGGUGACAGAUAUUAAUGCUUGUUUUCCUUAUCUCUAUGGACUACGAGUUUGGCUUUCUUGUCACAUUA
Raphanus sativus (radish) is the source of this 112-nucleotide small nucleolar RNA. NCBI's taxonomy places the organism in Eukaryota, Viridiplantae, Streptophyta, Magnoliopsida, Brassicales, Brassicaceae. The record is from RefSeq and is a predicted model, not a curated record.